Molecule: non-coding RNA, 28 nt
Filed under: Homo sapiens (human)
Lineage: Eukaryota; Metazoa; Chordata; Mammalia; Primates; Hominidae
Source: RNAcentral
AGAAAGUGUGUGCUAGAGCAGAGAGGGA